UACGUAGGGAGCAAGCGUUGUCCGGAAUCAUUGGGCGUAAAGCGCGCGUAGGUGGCCUCGUAAGUCCGCUGUGAAAGUCCAAGGCUCAACCUUGGAAAGCCGGUGGAUACUGUGAGGCUAGAGUACGGAAGAGGCGAGUGGAAUUCCUGGUGUAGCGGUGGAAUGCGCAGAUAUCAGGAGGAACACCGAUGGCGAAGGCAGCUCGCUGGGACGGUACUGACGCUGAGGCGCGAAAGCGUGGGGAGCGAACAGG
Molecule: ribosomal RNA, 253 nt
Filed under: uncultured bacterium
Lineage: Bacteria
Description: partial 16S ribosomal RNA
Rfam family: Bacterial small subunit ribosomal RNA
Source: RNAcentral